AGUUUCAUCAUCAAUCUUUCAAACUCUUAAUUCAAAUUUCAUUCUAAAUUGAUGAUCGAUUCUUUCGACCGAUUCUAAAUUGAUUACUCAAACCCUAGAAAUUUUAUUUGAACGGUUCCGUAAAAAAUACGCAGAGUAUCACUAUCGUUUAUUUUAGGGUUUCAUGUUUCUGCUGCCAUGGCUUGAUUCGAUUUGAAAUAGAGAUGGAAACGAAUUUAAGAUUCUUGGCUGGAUCCUUCGAUUACUCCGCAGUCAUUUCAUUUCAUUUCUUCGUAAGGAUUUCAUUUCUUGUCAUUUCGAUCCUUUAUCUCUUUGAAUUUUGAAUUUUUUCUAAGUGAUUUGAUUCAAUUUUUACCAAAAAUGUGAUUUACAAUAUGAAUUAUUAUGCGUCAAAUGAAAAAAAUGAAUUCUUUAUUCAUAUAUAAUCAGGAUUGAUUGUGUACAUGGAAGAUUUUAUGGUCUAAAUGCAAUUUGAAUAUGAAUGUUUUAUUCAUAAAUUGAAAUACAAGUCUGAGACGACCCUUGAUAAUGAAAGAUGGUUGUGUGCCUUGGUGCCUUCGAUGCAGAAUUGUAUAUGUCCCUCUAUGUCCCUAAAUUGAGCUUAUGUCCCUUGAUGCUAAAAUUGAUGGGUUUGGAUGGAAUUUUAAUGCGAGUGCUUAUUCAUAACUUCAAAUGGAAGUGGGGAAGACCCUAAAUUGAACAUAUGUCCCUCGAUAUCCCGAAAUUGAAUCUGUCCCUCGAUGACCCUAAAUUGAAUAUAUGUCCCUCAAAGUCCCUAAAUUGUGUAUAUGUCCCUUGAUCGAUGUCCCUAAAUUGGGUUUAUGUCCCUCGAUGACCCUAAAUUGAAUAUAUUUCCCUCGAAGUCCCUAAAUUGAUGAUGGAUGGUUUGUAUGUAUUGAUUAUUCAAAAGUGUGCUAAAUUGGUGAAUCUUGAUUAUUUAGUUGCGUUGAUUGGACCCUAAGAACUUGUUUAGUUGCUAAAAGAAUUCUAAUACACAUCUUUGGAUGCUGUGUUUGUGUUUUGAUGACUGAUGAGAUGACAUUAAUUUACCAAAAAUAUGGAUUACAAUAAGUUCUGUUGUUGUGAAGGUAGUACUACACUUUGAAAUAGAGAGAUCUUUAGUUCUGAUGUACUUACAACAGUUGUAUGCACUACUGGCAUUGUAAAGGACUAUAUUUGAACUGUUAGGACUAUUAAUGUUCAUAAUUCUGCUAUGUUUUGUUGCCUUUUUGUUGUCUAUUAUGGAGUUUAUGGGAACAACAUAUGGGAACAAGUGCUAGACUCCAGCUUUACAGUUGAAAACUGUGUUCAUCAGUUACUUGAAUGUUGGAAUUUAGCGCAGAAAUUGUGUUCUGUUCAGGUCUGAUGCAGGCAGAACCUGCGACUGUCUGGAGCCUGGUGCGGCACAGACAUAUUCAGUUGCUGUUAAUUGGAAAAGUCCGACUGCGGGGCGAUUCAAAUGUAAUAUUGAUGCAUCAUUUGCGUAGUAUUUAAAUAGAGUUGGGAUUGGAAUAUGCAUCCGUGAUGAACUUGGUCAAUCUGUGCUUUCAAAGACAUAAUGGAUUGCCCUUCUCUGUGGAGUGGAUGAUGGUGAACUUCUUGUUGAGUAUAUGUCCCUCAAUGUCCCUAAAUUGAGUUUAUAUCUCUCGAUGUCCCUAAAAUUAAUGGUCUAAAUACAAUUUCAAUGUGAUUGCUUAUUCAUAACUUCAAAUGUAAGUGGAGAAGACCCUUGGUGGCUUAGAUGCUAAAUUGAAUAUAUGUCCCUCAAUGUCUAUAUUUUCAUAGAAGGGUCUCAACGGAUUCCAGGAUAUUAUAAGGCACUUGAAGCUAUUGGAAAUCCUUCACCUUUUUAUAUUUCGGUUUUGGUUUCGGGCGUGUUUUUUCAUCUUUAUAACCAAUCAUCUUAUCAAGCAUUGGAUGAAAUUAGUCCAUUAACUUUCUCUGUUGGAACAAGAUGAAUAGAGUGGUGGUGAUUGUGUCUUCAGUUUUGGUGUUCAGUAAUCAGGUUCGACCUCUUAACAGUUUUGGUUUUGCCAUUGCUGUUUUUGGGACUUUUCCGUAUUCACAAGUUACAGCUGCAAAGAAAAUUGAAAUUAAAAAGAGAGGAAAUUUAGAAGAUGAUUAAUUACUAUUUGAUUUGAUUAUUUUAGUAGUAGUUUUAGCCAUGGUAGAUUUGAUUAUUUUCGUAGUGUGGAGAUUAUUUUCAAUCGGAGGAUAGAUCACGAGAAUUUGGUAAUAUCUCGCUUACAUGUAAAUGGGUGAAAAUUUCUGAAACCUCACUUGUGCUGCGUCAUUUGGAAGUGAACCAAAAGAGGUAGAAGAUACACCAUUAUCUGUUUUGCAUAAUCAGUAUCCCAAGUGGCCUGACCAUGGAGUUCCAAAUGAUACUUUAGCUGUGCGUGAAAUUUUGAAAAGAUUGUACCAUUUACCUCCAAACCUUGGCCCAAUAGUGGUGCACUGCAGGUUCUUCUCAUUCUUUCUUUGUUCAUUCAUUUUAUGGCAAUGGUGACAAUAAGUAACAUGCAUAUUUGGCCGAGACAAAUUCUCUCACUCAGUGCAGGUAUCGGUAGAACUGGAACAUACUGCACAAUUCACAACACAAUUCAGAGAAUACUUGCUGGUGGUAUGUCUGCUGUAGAUAUUGCUAACACCGUAUCUGUGUUCAGGUCCCAGAGUGAUUCAUGAAUGUAUCGAUCUUGCAUGAAAUGCCAGUAAUUUAGUUGGACCACAUAUGAAUUAAAUUUCAUUUUUAAACUGAAUUUGAAGGAAAGAGGUUUUGAAAUCUAUGAACAGGAAUUAUAAGGUACCCUACGCUGUUUGAUGGUAAAGGUAGAUUGUUGCAAGGAACUAGGUUAGAUAGUUUAGCAAGGGGGGCUCUUACUGCUAAUUUAUGUUUCCAAAGUAAAUAAAUAGCCAAUAAGCUUUUAGUUGCUUAAAGGAACUGGGCUAGAUAUUUAGCGAAGGAUGUCUGCAAAGUUUACUAUCCUGAUUUGGAUUUUGGAGGAACGACGAUCUUUGUUGAAUAUAUUAAUUGCUUUUUUUUUUGUUUACGAAAGAAGAAUUGUUAUUUCUAGGAAAGAAUACUCCCACUACUAGUGUUCAUGUAGAGUCGAGGAAUACUACUGUCUGAUUACAUUUACUUGCAUUUAUUGGACAAGAGAUCAUGUUAUUACCAAAUUUUAUCAUUAUAUAUAGUUUUCUGUUGUAGUAUUCCUCUCUCUGUAAUAGACAUAUAUAUACCCCUUCCUUAGUCCUUAUGGAUGAAAACCUAAAGAAAGGGUAGGAUUCUUUUAAAACCAGUGCUGUAGAUAAUGAUCUCUAGUUAGUUUUCUGUUGUACUUAGCCAGUGUGACAGCUGUCUAGGCACAUGUCAAAAUAGAGUGCCUGAUCAGCUUCAAGGCCUCAGAGUUGGUUAGAUCUGAGUGUAGGUUAAGCUAAUGCUGAGUGUAGGACAAGACUGAUAAAUUCCCAGAAUCUGUCAAAACAGAUCAGAAAUUGUAAUACACAAUUCCAAUGUAUGAAAAUAUGAAAGUUAUUCUCUCAAUUCCCUCUCCUUUAACAAGUGGAGAUGUAACUGUGAUUAAGGCAAAUCAUUAGGGGAUGCAGGACAACUCCAAGAGUACCUCUGUUGUUGAGCACAAGCAUCUACAGGAAAGUGUAUUCAUUGAAAAGUAAUAUAGGGGUGUAAGAGAUCCCUCAAUGUCCCUAAAUUGAUGGUAUGUCCCUAACUUGAAUAUAUGUCCCUCGAUGACCCUAAAUUGAAUAUAUGUCCCUCGAUGUCACUAAACUUGAUGGUUUGAAAUUUGAAUGCAAUUUCAAUGUGAAUGCUUAUUCAUAACUUCAAGUGUAAGUGGAGAAGACCCUAAACUGAAUGUAUGUCCCUCGAUGUCCCGAAAUUGAAUAUAUUCCUCGAAGUCCCUAACUUGAAUAUAUGUCGCUUGAUGACCCUAAAUUGAAUAUAUGUCCCUCGAUGUCGCUAAACUUGAUGGUUUGAAUGCAAUUUUAAUGUGAAUGCUUAUACAUAACUUCAAAUGUAAGUGGAGAAGACCCCAAAUUGAAUAUAUGUCCCUCGAUGUCCCGAAAUUGAAUAUAUUCCUCGAAGUCCCUAAAUUGAAUUUAUGUCCCUCAAUGACCCUAAAUUUAAUAUAUGUCCCUCGAAGUUCCUAUAUUGAUGGAUGGUUUGUAUGUAUUGAUUAUCCAAAAGUGUGUGCUAAAUCGGUGAAUCUUGAUUAUUUGGGUUCAUUGAUUGGACCCUAAGAACUUAUUUAUUUACCAUAGAAUUCUAAUACACGUCUUUGGAUGCUGUGUUUGUGUUUGGAUGACUGUGAUGAGAUGACAUUAUUUUACCAAAAAUGUGUAUUUCAAUAAGUUCUUUUGUUGUGAAGGUAGUACUACACUUUGAAAUAGAGAGAGCUUUAGUUCUGAUGUACUUACAGCAGCUGCAUGCACUGCUGCCAUUGUAAAGGACUAUCUUUGAACUGUUAGGAUUAUUAAUGUUCAUAAUCCUGCUCUAUUUUGUUGCCUUUUUUUUUUAACAACUUUUUGCCUUUAUGUUGUCUAUUAUGGAGUUUAUGGGAAGAUGGGAACAACGUAUGGGAACAAGUGCUAGACUAAGCUUUACUGUCGAAAAUUGUGUUCAUCAGUUACUUGAAUCUUGGAAUAUAGUGCAGAAAUUGUGUUCCGUUUCAGGUCUGAUGCAGGCAUAACCUGGGACUGCUUCGGGUCUGAUACGAGCUGGGGCUUUGCAGAAUGCUACCGCGGCUGAGCCUGGUGACAUAUUGGGCUGCUGUUAAUUCGAAAAUUCCGACUCGGGGGUUAUUCAAAUGUAAUAUUGAUGCAUCAUUUGCACCGUAUUUAAAUUGAGUUGGGAUUGGAAUAUGCAUCCGUGACGAACUUGGUCAAUUUGUGCUUUCAAAGAUAAAAUGGAUUGCGCUGCCCUUCUUUUUGGAGUGGUUGUUGGUGAACUUCUUGAUGAGUAUAUGUCCCUCAAUGUCCCUAAAUUUAAUUGAUGGUAUGUCCCUAAAUUGAGUUUAUGUCCCUCGAUAUCCCGAAAAUUGAUGGUCUAAAUACAAUCUCAAUGUGAUUGCUUAUUCGUAACUUCAAAUGUAAGUGGAGAAGACCCUUGGCAUCUCAGAUGCUAAAUUGAAUAUAUGUCCCUCCAUGUCCGUAAAUUUUAAUAUAUGUUCCCCGAUGUCCCUAAUUUCAUAGAAGGGUCUCAAUGGAUUCCAAUAUAUUAUAAGGCACUUGAAGCUAUUGGAAAUCCUUCAACUUUUUAUAUUUUGGUUUUGGUUUCGGGCGUGUUUUAUCAUCUUUGUAACCAAUCAUCUUAUCAAGCAUUGGAUGAAAUUAGUUCAUUAACUUUCUCUGUUGGAAACACGAUGAAUAGAGUGGCGGUGAAUGUGUCUUCAGUUUUUGGGUUCAGGAAUCAGGUUCUACCUCUUAUUAACAGUCUUGGUUCUGCCAUUGCUAUUUUGGGACUUUUCUGUAUUCACAAGCUACAGCUGCAAAGAAAAUUGAAGAGUUGGGAUUGGAAUAUGCAUCCAUGACAAACUUGGUCAAUUUGUGCUUUCAAAGACAUAAUAGAUUGCCCUUCUUUGGGGAAUGGAUGUUGAUGAACCUCUUGGUGAGUAUAUGUCCCUAAAUUGAUGGUCUGAUUCAAUUGCAAUAUGAAUGUUUUAUUCAUAACUUUAAAUGCAAGUAGAGAUGACCCUUGACGCAAUGACUAUACAAUGUAUUUUAAUAAUAUGAUGGCGUUGUGAUAUAUGUAACCAGGAUGAUGAAAUUAGAAUGAUGACUAUACAAUGUUUUAUUCAUGUAAAUUACAUUUUUUAUUCAUACAGGAUGGUAUACAUGGAAGAUUUGAUAGUCUAAAUGCAAUUUGAAUAUGAAUUUUUAUUCAUUACUAAGAUGACCCUUGAUAAUGAUUUUUCCACAAUGGUAAAUUGGG
Molecule: RNA transcript, 5947 nt
Organism: Trifolium pratense (red clover)
Lineage: Eukaryota; Viridiplantae; Streptophyta; Magnoliopsida; Fabales; Fabaceae
Gene name: protein-tyrosine-phosphatase PTP1-like
Exons: 3
Source: RefSeq, a predicted model, not a curated record